This is a non-coding RNA of Lentinula edodes (shiitake mushroom), 84 nucleotides long. NCBI's taxonomy places the organism in Eukaryota, Fungi, Basidiomycota, Agaricomycetes, Agaricales, Omphalotaceae. The record is from the annotation of a RefSeq genome assembly.
GGUUCGAUGGCGUAGUUGGUUAUCGCAUCUGUCUAACACCCCUGGUUGCACAGAAGGUCCCCGGUUCGAGCCCGGGUCGAAUCA